CAAGAGUGCUGAUGGUGUGAGACAGGAUGCGUUACUGUUUGAUGGACUGCUAUUUUUUACACAGAGAAAAUAGGAUGUCUUUGACCAAAAUUCCAUUAUCUUCAGAAAGCUGACAAACACAACAGCUGAGGAAAAGAGUUAAACUGUUACUGUUCAUCUCUGCUUGGGGGUCGCGACAGACGCAGUGGCAGGGUCCAGAUGGAUGCUGGAAAGAUACAAGCGGUUCUGAAGUGGCCCCAACCCUGCUCCAUUAAACAGGAAACCUCCUCCAACUCCCCAGAUCAUCAAUGGCCAACCAGGCUACACUGUUCGCCAGCUGCUGGACUCUCGCCAGGUCCGUGGGAGAACUCAGUAUCUUGUGGACUGGGAGGGUUAUGGGCCAGAGGAAUGCUCCUGGGUGUCAGCACGAGAUAAUCUAGACCCAUGCCUCAUCAGGGACUUCCACCACCAGGGUCCAAAGCACAGCUAAGGAAAUGUCAGGAGCCAUUCCUAGAGGAGGGGCUCCUGUAAUAACUCAGACUGCAAUGUCUCUCCAGACCUCUAACUGGCAUUAGCGUCCUGAGUUCCCUUGGUUCCCACACUCGUUAUGUUGAUUGUUAAAACCUGUGUGUUUCCCUAUUUAAGUUCACCUGUUUGAUCUUCCUGUGUUCAGUCUUGAGCCAAUCUGCCCAGAUCACCUGAGUUUUUGCCAGUUUAAUUCUCUGAUUUUGUACAUUUUGGCCAUUUGUUUAUUUUUACCUGUGAAACACGGCUUCCUGAUUUUUUUUUUUUUUACUUUUUGAGAUAU
Long non-coding RNA from Myxocyprinus asiaticus (Chinese sucker), 787 nucleotides. RefSeq lists it as uncharacterized. The transcript has 3 exons. NCBI's taxonomy places the organism in Eukaryota, Metazoa, Chordata, Actinopteri, Cypriniformes, Catostomidae. The record is from RefSeq and is a predicted model, not a curated record.